This 399-nucleotide ribosomal RNA is filed under the name uncultured organism. Its description in RNAcentral is "bacterial SSU rRNA". It matches the Rfam family "Bacterial small subunit ribosomal RNA", at positions 45 to 433 of the family's 1533-position model. The record is from RNAcentral.
CGCUUAACACAUGCAAGUCGAACGAGAAGCCGUAGCAAUACGGUUGUAAAGUGGCAGACGGGUGAGUAAUGCAUGGGUAAUCUACCCUCAGGUGGGGAAUAACUCCUCGAAAGGGGAGCUAAUGCCGACGAUAUCCACCAGCCUCAUAAGAGGUUGUUGGAAAGCCGAACCGAGGGUUCGGCGCCUGAGGAUGGGCUCAUGUCCUAUCAGCUUGUUGGCGGGGUAAUGGCCCACCAAGGCUGCGACGGGUAGCUGGUCUGAGAGGACGACCAGCCACACUGGCACUGCGACACGGGCCAGACUCCUACGGGAGGCAGCAGUGAGGAAUCUUGCGCAAUGGGCGAAAGCCUGAGGCAGCGACGCCGCGUGGGGGAUGAAGGCCUUCGGGUUGUAAACCCC